ACGUGGUAUCCUGUCUGAAUAUGGGGGGACCAUCCUCCAAGGCUAAAUACUCCUGACUGACCGAUAGUGAACCAGUACCGUGAGGGAAAGGCGAAAAGAACCCCGGCGAGGGGAGUGAAAAAGAACCUGAAACCGUGUACGUACAAGCAGUGGGAGCACCCUUUGGGGUGUGACUGCGUACCUUUUGUAUAAUGGGUCAGCGACUUAUAUUCUGUAGCAAGGUUAACCGUAUAGGGGAGCCGGAGGGAAACCGAGUCUUAACCGGGCGUUAAGUUGCAGGGUAUAGACCCGAAACCCGGUGAUCUAGCCAUGGGCAGGUUGAAGGUUGGGUAACACUAACUGGAGGACCGAACCGACUAAUGUUGAAAAAUUAGCGGAUGACCUGUGGCUGGGGGUGAAAGGCCAAUCAAACCGGGAGAUAGCUGGUUCUCCCCGAAAGCUAUUUAGGUAGCGCCUCGUGAAUUCAUCUCCGGGGGUAGAGCACUGUUUCGGCUAGGGGGCCAUCCCGGCUUACCAACCCGAUGCAAACUGCGAAUACCGGAGAAUGUUAUCACGGGAGACACACGGCGGGUGCUAACGUCCGUCGUGAAGAGGGAAACAACCCAGACCGCCAGCUAAGGUCCCAAAGUCAUGGUUAAGUGGGAAACGAUGUGGGAAGGCCCAGACAGCCAGGAUGUUGGCUUAGAAGCAGCCAUCAUUUAAAGAAAGCGUAAUAGCUCACUGGUCGAGUCGGCCUGCGCGGAAGAUGUAACGGGGCUAAACCAUGCACCGAAGCUGCGGCAGCGACGCUGAUGCGUUGUUGGGUAGGGGAGCGUUCUGUAAGCCUGCGAAGGUGGCCUGUGAGGGUUGCUGGAGGUAUCAGAAGUGCGAAUGCUGACAUAAGUAACGAUAAAGCGGGUGAAAAGCCCGCUCGCCGGAAGACCAAGGGUUCCUGUCCAACGUUAAUCGGGGCAGGGUGAGUCGACCCCUAAGGCGAGGCCGAAAGGCGUAGUCGAUGGGAAACGGGUUAAUAUUCCCGUACUUGGUGUUACUGCGAAGGGGGGACGGAGAAGGCUAUGUUGGCCGGGCGACGGUU
RNAcentral lists this ribosomal RNA (1075 nucleotides) under Salmonella enterica subsp. enterica serovar Montevideo. Its description in RNAcentral is "partial 23S ribosomal RNA". It matches the Rfam family "Bacterial large subunit ribosomal RNA", at positions 424 to 1503 of the family's 2925-position model. The record is from RNAcentral. Lineage: Bacteria; Pseudomonadati; Pseudomonadota; Gammaproteobacteria; Enterobacterales; Enterobacteriaceae.